UUGACUUAUUGAUUUUAACAACAUAGAAGUUGCAAUGUUGCUGAAUAAUGUGAAGUUGGUAUCUCGAGCCCGUUCCCAGGGUAAAGAUCUAUUCAAUAUAGUAGUAAUUAUAUUGAAAAGUGAAUUUGAGAUGUAUGGAUAGUUUGGCAUUAUUGAGAUGUAAACGUAUUGUAUGGUAUUAAUAUUCUUUGUAAUUGGCAUUAAAAAGAAUUAUUGGGAUGUAAACGUAUUGUAUGG
This 237-nucleotide long non-coding RNA is filed under the name Panax ginseng (ginseng). RNAcentral describes it as "long non-coding RNA (PGIN_LNC017406)". The record is from RNAcentral. Lineage: Eukaryota; Viridiplantae; Streptophyta; Magnoliopsida; Apiales; Araliaceae.